Anas platyrhynchos (mallard) is the source of this 457-nucleotide non-coding RNA. NCBI's taxonomy places the organism in Eukaryota, Metazoa, Chordata, Aves, Anseriformes, Anatidae. The record is from RefSeq and is a predicted model, not a curated record.
CCUGAAAUAGCAGCAGCUGAGCUUUGCUGGGGUGCAAACGGCUUUGUGGCAGGGUGCGGGGUUAAGUCCUUGCAGAGGAUCUGCACCUACAGCCCUAACCCUGCCCCUACAAACAGCUCAAUGGUACAGUUCCUGGGCUUAAGCUGAUUCCUAGGACAAGGUCUGGACCUGGCUGCAGCAGUCUGUGCUCUGGUCUGUAAAGAUGUCUGUCAAGCGCUGCGCCUCCAAAGACCUUGCUGAAUGACAGGAAAAUUUGCAUGCCAACCAACGGCACUUUCUAGGACGUCGUCAAUGCAGUCAACCACUGCAGAGUUUCUCUCCCUUCCCAGCCAUUCAAAGGAGCUGAGCGGCUUGCCGAAGGCGUGGGGUGGGGGCUGAGCGAUGUGACAAUCACGGCAUGUCCCCAGAGCGGAGGCAGCCCCGUGCUUGAAUGCAGCAGCUCUCCGUCCCCUCUGCC